UACAGGGGGGGCAAGCGUUGUCCGGAAUUACUGGGUGUAAAGGGUCCGUAGGCGGAUCGGUAAGUCAGUGGUUAAAUCCUGCAGCUUAACUGUAGACUAUCCAUUGAUACUGCCGGUCUUGAGUGCGAGAGAGAUGAGUGGAAUUCCAAGUGUAGCGGUGAAAUGCGUAGAGAUUUGGAAGAACACCAGUUGCGAAGGCGGCUCAUUGGCUCGCUACUGACGCUGAGGGACGAAAGCAUGGGGAGCAAACACG
This 253-nucleotide ribosomal RNA is filed under the name uncultured bacterium. RNAcentral's name for it is "partial 16S ribosomal RNA". It matches the Rfam family "Bacterial small subunit ribosomal RNA", at positions 524 to 776 of the family's 1533-position model. The record is from RNAcentral.